Molecule: ribosomal RNA, 253 nt
Filed under: uncultured bacterium
Lineage: Bacteria
Description: partial 16S ribosomal RNA
Rfam family: Bacterial small subunit ribosomal RNA
Source: RNAcentral
UACGAAGGGGGCUAGCGUUGUUCGGAAUCACUGGGCGUAAAGGGCGCGUAGGCGGCUUUAUAAGUCGGGGGUGAAAGCCUGUGGCUCAACCACAGAAUUGCCUUCGAUACUGUAGAGCUUGAGACCGGAAGAGGUAAGUGGAACUGCGAGUGUAGAGGUGAAAUUCGUAGAUAUUGGGAAGAACACCGGUUGCGAAGGCGGCCAACAGGACUGGUACUGACGCUGAGGCGCGAAAGCGUGGGGAGCAAACGGG